RNAcentral lists this ribosomal RNA (443 nucleotides) under uncultured bacterium. RNAcentral describes it as "partial 16S ribosomal RNA". It matches the Rfam family "Bacterial small subunit ribosomal RNA", at positions 338 to 795 of the family's 1533-position model. The record is from RNAcentral.
CCUACGGGAGGCUGCAGUGGGGAAUAUUGGGCAAUGGGCGCAAGCCUGACCCAGCAACGCCGCGUGCAGGAAGACGGCUUUCGGAUUGUAAACUUCUUUUCUGAGGGACGAAGAAAGUGACAGUACCUCAGGACUAAGCCACGGCUAACUACGUGCCAGCAGCCGCGGUAAUACGUAGGUGGCAAGCGUUAUGCGGAUUUAUUGGGUGUAAAGGGCGUGUAGGCGGGAAAGCAAGUCAGAUGUGAAAACUCAGGGCUCAACCCUGGGCCUGCAUUUGAAACUGUUUUUCUUGAGUGCUGGAGAGGCAAGCGGAAUUUCGUGUGUAGCGGUGAAAUGCGUAGAGAUACGGAGGAACACCAGUGGCGAAGGCGGCUUGCUGGACAGUAACUGACGCUGAGGCGCGAAAGCGUGGGGAGCAAACAGGAUUAGAUACCCCUGUAGUC